Molecule: transfer RNA, 74 nt
Filed under: Caldifarciminota bacterium
Lineage: Bacteria; Pseudomonadati; Caldifarciminota
Description: candidate division WOR-3 bacterium (hot springs metagenome) tRNA-Val
Rfam family: tRNA
About the family: Transfer RNA (tRNA) molecules are approximately 80 nucleotides in length. Their secondary structure includes four short double-helical elements and three loops (D, anti-codon, and T loops). Further hydrogen bonds mediate the characteristic L-shaped molecular structure. tRNAs have two regions of fundamental functional importance: the anti-codon, which is responsible for specific mRNA codon recognition, and the 3' end, to which the tRNAs corresponding amino acid is attached (by aminoacyl-tRNA synthetases). tRNAs cope with the degeneracy of the genetic code in two manners: having more than one tRNA (with a specific anti-codon) for a particular amino acid; and 'wobble' base-pairing, i.e. permitting non-standard base-pairing at the 3rd anti-codon position.
Source: RNAcentral
GGGCGAAUAGCUCAGAUGGGAAGAGCGCCUCCCUUACAAGGAGGAGGUCACCCGUUCAAAUCGGGUUUCGCCCA